This 404-nucleotide ribosomal RNA is filed under the name Verrucomicrobiota bacterium. RNAcentral's name for it is "Verrucomicrobia bacterium partial 16S ribosomal RNA". It matches the Rfam family "Bacterial small subunit ribosomal RNA", at positions 355 to 776 of the family's 1533-position model. The record is from RNAcentral. Lineage: Bacteria; Pseudomonadati; Verrucomicrobiota.
UGGGGAAUAUUGCACAAUGGGCGCAAGCCUGAUGCAGCAACGCCGCGUGAACGAUGAAGGUCUUCGGAUCGUAAAGUUCUGUUGCAGGGGAAGAUAAUGACGGUACCCUGUGAGGAAGCACCGGCUAACUACGUGCCAGCGGCCGCGGUAAUACGUAGGGUGCGAGCGUUGUCCGGAAUUACUGGGCGUAAAGAGCUCGUAGGCGGUUUGUCACGUCGUCUGUGAAAUCCUAGGGCUUAACCCUGGACGUGCAGGCGAUACGGGAUGACUUGAGUACUACAGGGGAGACUGGAAUUUCUGGUGUAGCGGUGGAAUGCACAGAUAUCAGGAAGAACACCGAUGGCGAAGGCACGUCUCUGGGUAGUAACUGACGCUGAGGAGCGAAAGCAUGGGUAGCGAACAGG